UGACGGUAGCAGGUAAAGAAACCCCCGGCUAACUCCGUGCCAGCAGCCGCGGUAAUACGGAGGGGGUUAGCGUUGUUCGGAAUUACUGGGGCGUAAAGCGCACGUAGGCGGAUCCGGAAAGUUGGGGGUGAAAUCCCCGGGGCUCAACCCCGGAACUGCCUCCAAAACUAUCGGUCUAGAGUUCGAGAGAGGUGAGUGGAAUUCCGAGUGUAGAGGUGAAAUUCGUAGAUAUUCGGAGGAACACCAGUGGCGAAGGCGGCUCACUGGCUCGAUACUGACGCUUCGAGGUGCGAAAGUGUGGGGACGCAAACAGGAUUAGACUACCCUGGUAG
This 332-nucleotide ribosomal RNA is filed under the name uncultured bacterium. RNAcentral's name for it is "bacterial SSU rRNA". It matches the Rfam family "Bacterial small subunit ribosomal RNA", at positions 470 to 793 of the family's 1533-position model. The record is from RNAcentral.